AGAAUCAACGCUGGCGGCGUGCCUAACACAUGCAAGUCGAACGAGAAAGUGGAGCAAUCCAUGAGUACAGUGGCGCACGGGUGAGUAACACGUGAAUCAUCUACCUUCGAGUGGGGAAUAACUGAGAGAAAUCUUAGCUAAUACCGCAUAAUACCCACGGGUCAAAGCAGCAAUGCGCUUGAAGAGGAGUUCGCGGCAGAUUAGUAGUUGGCGGGGUAAUGGCCCACCAAGACGAUGAUCUGUA
RNAcentral lists this ribosomal RNA (244 nucleotides) under uncultured bacterium. RNAcentral's name for it is "partial small subunit ribosomal RNA". It matches the Rfam family "Bacterial small subunit ribosomal RNA", at positions 26 to 285 of the family's 1533-position model. The record is from RNAcentral.